Molecule: transfer RNA, 64 nt
Filed under: Cavia porcellus (domestic guinea pig)
Lineage: Eukaryota; Metazoa; Chordata; Mammalia; Rodentia; Caviidae
Rfam family: tRNA
About the family: Transfer RNA (tRNA) molecules are approximately 80 nucleotides in length. Their secondary structure includes four short double-helical elements and three loops (D, anti-codon, and T loops). Further hydrogen bonds mediate the characteristic L-shaped molecular structure. tRNAs have two regions of fundamental functional importance: the anti-codon, which is responsible for specific mRNA codon recognition, and the 3' end, to which the tRNAs corresponding amino acid is attached (by aminoacyl-tRNA synthetases). tRNAs cope with the degeneracy of the genetic code in two manners: having more than one tRNA (with a specific anti-codon) for a particular amino acid; and 'wobble' base-pairing, i.e. permitting non-standard base-pairing at the 3rd anti-codon position.
Source: Rfam by way of RNAcentral
GGGGAUUUAGCUCAGUGGCAUAAGCACUUGCCUGACGAGCAUGAGGUCAUGAGUUCAAUCCCUG